Molecule: long non-coding RNA, 724 nt
Filed under: Homo sapiens (human)
Lineage: Eukaryota; Metazoa; Chordata; Mammalia; Primates; Hominidae
Description: HSALNT0353700
Source: RNAcentral
GGGCCCAGAGUCCCUCCCCUCGCUGGGCCCCGGUCCCGCCGGCGUCUAUAACGCCGUCGCAGCGGCCUUUAACCCCGCCUCUCACUCGAGCCCUGCCCGCGUCCAAGUCCCGCCCUCAAGGCGGCCUCAGCUACGACCGCCGCGCGCCUCCCUGGAGGCGCCCGCUCCUGCCCGGAGCCCUGCCCGUCUUGGGCCCGCCCUUCCGGGCCCUGCCGCGUUGAGUGGCGGAGUCGGGAUCCAGGUGGCCCGCCGGCCGGCUCAGUCCACCUCCCCGCUCCCGGCCUCGCGCCCCACCCCUUGGAUGAGAAAACUGAAACUGAGAGGGGACGUGACUGAUCCAACGUCAUACAGAAAGUCAGGCCCUGGGGAGUACAGGGCCAGGCCUGGGGCAAAAGGCCGGUGGGCGUCCAGUACGCCACAGGGACCAGCCAAAGGAGGCAGUGCCCAGUGAUGCUUUCCCAAAUCCAGGGGAGAAGGACUCAACGAGAGCCCUGUGUGGAGAGGAACUAGGCCCCCAGCCAACAACCAGCAGUGACUCACUGUGAGAGAGUGAAUCAUCUUGGAAGUGGAUCCUAAGCCCCAAUAGAGACUUCAGAUGAAACUGCAACCCUGGCUGACAUCUGACUGCAGUGGCAUAAGAAACCCUUAUGUCAGAAUCACCCUGCAAAGCCCAAAUUCUUGACCCACCAAGUGAAAGAGAAUAAAUGACGAUUGUUGUGUUUGA